RNAcentral lists this ribosomal RNA (494 nucleotides) under uncultured bacterium. Its description in RNAcentral is "partial 16S ribosomal RNA". It matches the Rfam family "Bacterial small subunit ribosomal RNA", at positions 28 to 507 of the family's 1533-position model. The record is from RNAcentral.
GACGAACGCUGGCGGCGUGCUUAACACAUGCAAGUCGAACGGAAAGGCCUGCUUUCCCUUGUGGAUUGCGGGUACUCGAGUGGCGAACGGGUGAGUAACGCGUGAGUGAUCUGCCCCCAACUUGGGUAUAAGCCUGGGAAACUGGGUCUAAUUCCCGAUAGGACUGCAGGGUGGUGCCUGUGGUGGAAAACGAUUUUCUAGUGGUUGGGGAUGAGCUCGCGGCCUAUCAGCUUGUUGGUGGGGUAAUGGCCUACCAAGGCGGCGACGGGUAGCCGGCCUGGGAGGGUGGACGGCCACAUUGGGACUGAGAUACGGCCCAGACUCCUACGGGAGGCAGCAGUGGGGAAUAUUGCACAAUGGGCGGAAGCCUGAUGCAGCGACGCCGCGCGGGGGAUGACGGCCUUCGGGUUGUAAACUCCUUUCGACCGCGAGGAAGCCACCUGGUUGGAAGGGUGGUGACGGUAGUGGUAGAAGAAGCACCGGCUAACUACGUG